RNAcentral lists this non-coding RNA (125 nucleotides) under Streptomyces sp. SirexAA-E. Its description in RNAcentral is "Streptomyces RNA 3920". It matches the Rfam family "Streptomyces RNA 3920". From Rfam's summary of the family: Identified by deep sequencing of transcriptome at the end of exponential growth phase. The record is from Rfam by way of RNAcentral. Lineage: Bacteria; Bacillati; Actinomycetota; Actinomycetes; Kitasatosporales; Streptomycetaceae.
GAUAGGGAGCUGUCGCUUCUGUGAUUGGACACUGACGCUCGGUCAACUAGCCUUGUCCAGACGGUUCGUCGUGCGAGGAACCGGGGUGGUCCGAGCCACGAGGGGGGAGGCUCGGACCAUCCGUC